AGUAAAGUGGCGCACGGGUGAGUAACGCGUAGGUAAUCUACCCCUGUGUUCGGGACAACAUCGGGAAACUGGUGCUAAUACCGGAUACGUUUCACGGAUUGCGAAAUAAGUGAAGGAAAGGUGGCGCCCCUUCGGGGGGCUAUUGCACGGGGAUGAGCCUGCGUACCAUUAGCUAGUUGGCAGGGUAAGGGCCUACCAAGGCGACGAUGGUUAGCGGGUCUGAGAGGAUGAUCCGCCACACUGGAACUGAAACACGGUCCAGACUCCUACGGGAGGCAGCAGUGAGGAAUUUUGCACAAUGGGGGAAACCCUGAUGCAGCGACGCCGCGUGAGUGACGAAGCCUUCGGGUCGUAAAGCUCUGUCAGCAGGGAAGAAAUGUGCGAUGGCUAAUAUCCAUUGUACUUGACGGUACCUGCAAAGGAAGCACCGGCUAACUCCGUGCCAGCAGCCGCGGUAAUACGGAGGGUGCGAGCGUUGUUCGGAUUUACUGGGGCGUAAAG
Molecule: ribosomal RNA, 501 nt
Filed under: uncultured delta proteobacterium
Lineage: Bacteria; Deltaproteobacteria
Description: bacterial SSU rRNA
Rfam family: Bacterial small subunit ribosomal RNA
Source: RNAcentral